RNAcentral lists this unclassified non-coding RNA (401 nucleotides) under Hevea brasiliensis (rubber tree). Lineage: Eukaryota; Viridiplantae; Streptophyta; Magnoliopsida; Malpighiales; Euphorbiaceae. The record is from RNAcentral.
GUAAGUUUCUGUAAAUUAGAAAUUCUUAGGUUUAUGUGAAAUUGAAUACACAUCUCUUUUGACUUUAGAGAUUCUUGAAAGACCAACAAUGGCUUUUGUACUGUACUCCUUUCUUUCCUUCUAUUUUUAUGUAUGACGAAAACUUUUUUCCUUUUCAUAAAUAAUUAAAUUGCGUUAACAAAAGUUGUCAAAUGAAAUGCUAUAUGUGAAUGGAACAGUUCAAACAUUGGAUCUAAGGAGUACAGUUGUUCCUAAUAAACUGUAAAGAGAUACCAUGAGCAACAAUUUUGGACAAUGUUUGCUAAACUACAUCUUUUAUUUUUUUUCUAAUUAGCUACUCAAGUAUUCUUAUUUUGCUUUAAUUUUUUCCGUUCUCAUUUUGUUUUGUGUUUUUAGGUUGG